GGUGGCUGUGGGGGAUUUCCCUUGAUAUGUCCUUGCCUCAGUGGAGGCAUGGUUAUAAGCCUGUGCCAUCAACUCAGAGUAAGUCUUCCAAGUGUUGGCAUUGAUCAUGUACUUGAAGAAACAAUCACGUAAGCUUGCCGUGAAGGCUUUGAGGGCAGUCUUGUUGUCUGCCUCGGCACAAUGGGAAUACUCAUGGCUGAAGCGGCCAGCAUACAUACGUAAUAACUCGUCUGCCUUUUGGUGAAUAGUGUACAAGUCAUCCGCAGAGUGCAAGCGAUCGGUUUGGAAAAUGUGUUGAGAAACAAACAGUUUUCUCAAUUCCUCAAA
This 327-nucleotide long non-coding RNA is filed under the name Malus domestica (apple). RNAcentral describes it as "long non-coding RNA (MDOM_LNC003009)". Lineage: Eukaryota; Viridiplantae; Streptophyta; Magnoliopsida; Rosales; Rosaceae. The record is from RNAcentral.